Molecule: long non-coding RNA, 530 nt
Filed under: Mytilus galloprovincialis (Mediterranean mussel)
Lineage: Eukaryota; Metazoa; Mollusca; Bivalvia; Mytilida; Mytilidae
Source: RNAcentral
CACAAUGUUUGAAACCCAAUGGUUUCAUUUUGUAGUUUAGAUGAAAGAAAAAAACAUUAUUUUGGCUGAUUUUAAUUGUCAGGUGUGUAUCAUACCAUUGCAAACAUUUACUUGACAUGCAAACUUUACAUAGGUUAAAAGCUUUUUUAAUUGAAUUAUGAAAUGUAAAUCUAAUUGAAAUUUUAAUAUAAGAUAUCCUCUUCAUCAACAUGACUAAACUAUUUGCCAUUGGCCAGUGGCCAUUUUAAGCAAGCAAGCAUGCAAGCAACAAUUAAUAAUAUAUAAUCAUAUGUCUGAAUAUCCAUCCAUAUUCUGAAUAGCAAAUAGAGAAAAAAACGUUCCAUUUAUGAAAAUUUGUACAAUUUAAAAUUGAACAACUGCUUAUUUUUGUUGAAUAUUUUUAAAGUUUAAGGUCAAAGAAAGACCUUUACUGUUCAUACUCCAAACAAAUGAACACUUGUGAUAGUACUAAACUGUGAUAAAAUGCAAUCAGAAAAUGUAUAGACUUGAAGAGUAUCAUUAUGAUUUAU